Molecule: ribosomal RNA, 465 nt
Filed under: uncultured bacterium
Lineage: Bacteria
Description: partial 16S ribosomal RNA
Rfam family: Bacterial small subunit ribosomal RNA
Source: RNAcentral
CCUACGGGGGGCUGCAGUGGGGAAUAUUGCACAAUGUGGGAAACCCUGAUGCAGCGACGCCGCGUGAGUGAAGAAGUAUUUCGGUAUGUAAACCUCUGUCAGCAGGGAAGAACGGUCACUGUGCUAAUCAGCAGUGAAUUGACGGUACCUGCAAAGGAAGCACCGGCUAACUCCGUGCCAGCAGCCGCGGUAAUACGGAGGGUGCGAGCGUUAAUCGGAAUUACUGGGCGUAAAGCGCUCGUAGGCGGUAUGUCAAGUCAAGGGUGAAAUCCCCGCGCUCAACGUGGGAACUGCCUUUGAAACUGGCAAACUGGAGUGUGUGAGAGGAUAGUGGAAUUACAGGUGUAGGAGUGAAAUCCGUAGAUAUCUGGAGGAACAUCAGUGGCGAAGGCGACUAUCUGGCACAUAACUGACGCUGAGGAGCGAAAGCGUGGGUAGCAAACAGGAUUAGAUACCCGAGUAGUC